RNAcentral lists this ribosomal RNA (253 nucleotides) under uncultured bacterium. Its description in RNAcentral is "partial 16S ribosomal RNA". It matches the Rfam family "Bacterial small subunit ribosomal RNA", at positions 524 to 776 of the family's 1533-position model. The record is from RNAcentral.
UACAGAGGUCCCAAGCGUUGUUCGGAUUCACUGGGCGUAAAGGGCGCGUAGGUGGCCAGGUAAGUUCGGUGUGAAAGCUCGGAGCUUAACUCCGAAAUGGCAUUGAAUACUAUCUGGCUAGAGGGUCGGAGGGGAGACUGGAAUUCUCGGUGUAGCAGUGAAAUGCGUAGAUAUCGAGAGGAACACCAGUGGCGAAGGCGAGUCUCUGGACGACUCCUGACACUGAGGCACGAAAGCCAGGGGAGCAAACAGG